UUUUCUGUGGCGCAAUUGGUUAGCGCGUUCGGCUGUUAACCGAAAGGUUGGUGGUUCAAGCACACCCAGAAACG
This 74-nucleotide transfer RNA is filed under the name Saccoglossus kowalevskii. RNAcentral describes it as "tRNA-Asn". It matches the Rfam family "tRNA". From Rfam's summary of the family: Transfer RNA (tRNA) molecules are approximately 80 nucleotides in length. Their secondary structure includes four short double-helical elements and three loops (D, anti-codon, and T loops). Lineage: Eukaryota; Metazoa; Hemichordata; Enteropneusta; Harrimaniidae. The record is from RNAcentral.